Molecule: long non-coding RNA, 486 nt
Organism: Mytilus trossulus (common blue mussel)
Lineage: Eukaryota; Metazoa; Mollusca; Bivalvia; Mytilida; Mytilidae
Exons: 4
Source: RefSeq, a predicted model, not a curated record
GUUAAUUGAUGACCUACUUCAUGUAUAUGUAAUAACAAGCUUUUAUAAACGCGACAGCAAGUUUCUGUAGCUUCAUAUUGUCUCGUUACAAUUUACACCAUGAAAACAAGUGUUGCUGUUAUCAUUCUGUUCGUUUGCCUAUCGGGCAUUACCAUAAACGAAACCGAAGGGAUCAAAAUAAAAUGUAGAUGGGGAGGAUGUCCGUUCAACAAAACCUGUUACCUCUGUUGUGACCACGUAAGGCAAGGCUGCAUUGGUGGAAAGUGUAGGGGAUUCCUAUGUGUAUGUGAUUGCCCUGCUGGAUAAAAGAGACAAUCCAAGAUAUUGAAAACAUAGGAAUCGAUGUUAAUGCGCGCUCAAUUUGAAAAUUGAUUUUAGUUCUAAGAUUAGGAACAGGAGAAGACUUCAUUAGUUACUUAAUUGUUUGUGAUCCUCUUUUUUUCAUACUACAAAUCAAAUAGAUUUGGGCUAAAGAACUUUUCUCUC